UACAGAGGGUGCAAGCGUUGUUCGGAAUUAUUGGGCGUAAAGGGAGUGUAGGCGGUCUGUUAAGUCUUCUGUGAAAUCUACGGGCUCAGCCUGUAACGUGCAGAGGAAACUGGCAGACUUGAGUGUCGGAGAGGAUAGGGGAAUACCCAGUGUAGAGGUGAAAUUCGUAGAGAUUGGGUGGAACACCAGUGGCGAAGGCGCCUGUCUGGCUGACAACUGACGCUGAGACUCGAAAGCAUGGGGAGCAAACAGG
This 253-nucleotide ribosomal RNA is filed under the name uncultured bacterium. RNAcentral's name for it is "partial 16S ribosomal RNA". It matches the Rfam family "Bacterial small subunit ribosomal RNA", at positions 524 to 776 of the family's 1533-position model. The record is from RNAcentral.